GGGGGUGGGGUUUGAUGCAUGUUAACAGAAGGUGGAGGUUGACAAAGUUAUUUUUGGGUCCAAGAAAAAUAAAAACAAGUAAAAAUGCUACCCUGGAAUCAAGCAUGUGGUCACAGAGACCUUGUGUGAACCAUCAGCUCGGCGAGCGUCGUCGUUCUCCUGACCACCGCCUCCAUGUUUCUCAAUCCGGCGCUCAGGAACAACGCUUUAGUUUCAGAAAAAGGGAAAAAAGUGUGUUGGGUUUGUGGGUUGGUUAGUAAACAGUGCACUCAGUGUGUGUGUGCGUGCGUGUGUGUGUGUAGGGGGAGGUGUGUGAGGUGUGUAUGUCGCACUGAAGUCCUCUUGUCUCUUACUAGCUGUAUAUCGUGCUUUUCAGAAGAAAAAAAAAAAAAACACAUCAUCCGAGAAUCAACAUUAAUAAAAAAAAUCUAUAAAGUUCUGGUUGUUGAUUUUUUAUUUAUUUUUUAAAUAGCUCCAAAUAAAAAUGAUCGAUUUAUUUAAAAUACUUUUUGAUCCAAAUCCAAUCCUGUGGAUAAGGAUUAUAUUUAACAAAGCCUGCUAUAAUAAUAAUAAUAAUAAUAAUAAUAAUAAUAAUAAUAAUAAUGAUAAUGUUGAUAAACACUAUAAAUAAAAAGUAAGAACAAAAGUUAGUGUUUCAAACUGCUGUAGGAUCUGCAUUCAAUUAGAAUAGUUUUAAAGGGUUAUGCUUUUUGUGUACCAUCAAUUGCAAAAGUUUUGACCCCCUCUCCCUAGCUUUCACCUAUUAUUCCACGAUGUGACGUAACGAAACGUAACGAGACGUGGGUGUAACCUGGAAAAAUUCUGAAAAUAAGUCAAAACAUUCAGGGCCGAGGAUCCAGAAACUGUUUAGAGGAUAUUAAAAAAGACUGGAGGCAGUUUGAAAGAAAGACGGAGAGAGAGAAUGAAAAGAGAAGGUAUUUAGAGGAUAUUAAAAAAAAAUUGAUAUAAAAUUUAAAAAAAAAAAAAAAAAGGUUAAUGGCCAUUUGAAGGAAUGAAGAAUAAAUUUAAAAACAAUUCACUGACA
This is a long non-coding RNA of Ictalurus punctatus (channel catfish), 1045 nucleotides long. The record is from Ensembl. Lineage: Eukaryota; Metazoa; Chordata; Actinopteri; Siluriformes; Ictaluridae.